Molecule: ribosomal RNA, 406 nt
Filed under: uncultured bacterium
Lineage: Bacteria
Description: partial 16S ribosomal RNA
Rfam family: Bacterial small subunit ribosomal RNA
Source: RNAcentral
AUUGAACGCUGGCGGCAGGCCUAACACAUGCAAGUCGAGCGAGUGGCGGACGGGUGAGUAAUGUAUGGGGAUCUGCCCGAUAGAGGGGGAUAACUACUGGAAACGGUGGCUAAUACCGCAUACUAUAGGAUGAACCCAUAUGGGAUUAGCUAGUAGGUGGGGUAAAGGCUCACCUAGGCGACGAUCUCUAGCUGGUCUGAGAGGAUGAUCAGCCAAACUGGGACGGAGACACGGCCCAGACUCCUACGGGAGGCAGCAGUGGGAAUUAUUGCACAAUGGGCGAAAGCCUGAUGCAGACAUGCCGCGUGUGUGAAGAAGGCCUUCGGGUUGUAAAGCACUGUCAGCGAGGAGGCGUUACUCGCAGAAGAAGCACCGGCUAACUCCGUGCCAGCAGCCGCGGUAAUAC